Molecule: ribosomal RNA, 264 nt
Filed under: Triticum aestivum (bread wheat)
Lineage: Eukaryota; Viridiplantae; Streptophyta; Magnoliopsida; Poales; Poaceae
Description: partial small subunit ribosomal RNA
Source: RNAcentral
AUGGUGGGGCGUGCCCGGCCGCACGCUGGAGGUCGUCCUCGAGUACAUCGAGGGCGGCAACACGCCGAGGCUGGAGUACCCCGCUCCCCCGUCCUUCUCUCGCCGACUUGGGAGCUUGUGGACGCCGAGGCGCAUGGACCCCGGGGCGUCCUCCUCCUCGUCCGGCCGCUCGUCCGGCUCUCCCUGCCUCCGCCCCGUCAAGCCGGAGCCCCAGGACACGCCGGUCAGCCGGCGCACCCGCAGCUCCGGCGUCCGCAUCGGUGA